GAACAAGCUGUUAACAACUUAUAACGAGCUUGAUGGCAUUAUCAACCUUGUUACAAGACUGUGCCAACAAGUUUGUUACAGCCAUGAUAUGACAAGGAUGUUACAAGGUUGUCAACACAAGGCUAUAACAAUCUUGUUAUAUCAAGCAUGUAACGGACUUGUCAGAACAACCUUGCAACAUGUCUAGUAAUUACGACAAGGUUGUUACAAGUUGUUAACAAGUUGUCC
This is a non-coding RNA of Paramuricea clavata, 228 nucleotides long. The record is from the annotation of a GenBank genome assembly. NCBI's taxonomy places the organism in Eukaryota, Metazoa, Cnidaria, Anthozoa, Malacalcyonacea, Plexauridae.